This 253-nucleotide ribosomal RNA is filed under the name uncultured bacterium. RNAcentral's name for it is "partial 16S ribosomal RNA". It matches the Rfam family "Bacterial small subunit ribosomal RNA", at positions 524 to 776 of the family's 1533-position model. The record is from RNAcentral.
GACGGAGGAUGCAAGCGUUAUCCGGAAUGAUUGGGCGUAAAGCGUUCGCAGGUGGCAGUUUAAGUCUGCUGUUAAAGACCGGGGCUUAACUUCGGAAAGGCAGUGGAAACUGAACAGCUAGAGUAUGGUAGGGGCAGAGGGAAUUCCUGGUGUAGCGGUGAAAUGCGUAGAGAUCAGGAAGAACAUCGGUGGCGAAGGCGCUCUGCUGGACCAUAACUGACACUCAGGGACGAAAGCUAGGGGAGCGAAUGGG